UUUUUUUUUUUUUUUUUUUGUGUUUUGGAUAUUUUAAGUGUGUAGGUUAAAAUUUUUGAUAAGUUUUUAGGAUUCCUGUAGUAAAAGUUGUUAAAAAACUAGUAUAAUUCAAACUUGCUAAAAAAUUAGACUUCCAAACAGGCCCAUAAUGUAUUAGAUGGGAUGAGAUUAGAGCUGUUGGAUAGAGAAAUAUUUGCAAAAUGCAGAUCACACUUUUUAUUUAGAAUUUGUAGAGUUGUCAAGGCUAUUAUAGUCCUUUCAUAAUACUAAGGGAAGUAAAUGUGAUUUUUCAAAUAUCAAGGGAGGUAACUGUAACUAUCAGAAAUUCCAAGGGAGGUCUAUGAAAUUUUCCCCUAUAAUUGUCAUGAGUUGGAAUGUGGACGUCUCUGACGUAUAAGUAAAUUUUGGACUUGAAUCAAACAUGACAGCAAGGAGGGCCCCAGGCCCACCACAAUAGUCAAUUCAUUCCAUCCUCAUUCAUGGCCUUACCAUUUAAGACAAGCAAUAAUAGAGUCCUCGUACCAUUGUCUGUUACAUGGCAAGUGGCUUCACCCCAGUUUGAAGUACCCACCCUGGCCCCUGCCUCCUGCCAACUGCCUGCUUUAACUCCAUUUAGUCAUUUUUACCAAUACCAGUACUGCUAACCCAUCAUUUUCGGUUUUGCUAUAUAAAAAUGCACGAAUCUGGACCCAUAAUGAUCAGUGGUCCAAACUCUAAGGCUUAUUUGCAUUUGAUCCAUCUGAAAAUCUUUACUUUUUAUUUGACUGGGAUCACGUGAAGGCCCAAAUACUCUCAGUUUCUCAUGCGUUCUAUCAAUCUAUGCCAUCUGUCCUCUGCACUCUUACGAAAGGUCUGAUUAUUAUAGAAUUCUAAUCUCCAGCACAAAGGAUGGAAGACCCUGUCGAAUCUCAACCCCAAUUGUUGCCUUUAUUAUGAUUUUUCAAACUGAUUUGAAAAGUCGAAUCCAACAUGAACAAUUGACACUCGGACUCCCCACCCCAAAAAAAAAAAAAAAGAAGCUCUGGUGCAUCCGUAGUCCUCCUGUGUUUUGAAGGAUCACAAGUUCACAACCCUGUCAAUGUUUGGCAAUCUUUGUGGAAAACUAUUUUUUUUUAUAAAGUUUUUGCAAAAUGUUAUUGUUUAUACAUUUAAUAUUCGUCGCUACACUCACAUACAUCACGUUUCAAAAAAUAUAUAUAUAUUACAAUUUUAAUUUCAACAGAAAACUUCCAACAACUCUCAAAAAUUCAAAUCAUAUAUAUGUGUCAUACAUUCAAAACUAUUGGUGUGAAAAAAAAAAAUUAUUACACCGUCGGUGUAUAAAAAGUUAAUCAUUUUAUAAUCAGGAUACAAUUAAUAAUGUUAAUAGGAAAGCGAAGGAAAAUAUGACAUGAGAGAGGCGAAAAAAAAGGAAAAAGAUAAAGGAAAGGAAAAUAAAGUGGUGGAAAACAAAAAAAAAUGAAUAAAUAAGGAGAAAAACAAAAUAAUAUAGCAAUGGCACUUUCGUUUCAAUGAGUCAAGGAGGGAAGCAAAGUGCCUAUUCUAUUUAACUGAGUUGGUAAGAUAAAGUGUAGAUGAGGAUAAAUUUCACAAGGAUUUAGUACAUCUAUCCCUGCUAGUUUUUUUUUUUUUUUUUUCAAGACUUUUCGUUGAAUUAAUUAAAUCUAAUCCCAUAUUGAACUCCAAAAGCCGGCAACUCUUGGAGCCAACCAGAGACUUAACUACCCAACCAAACCCCACCCCACAUCUAUCCCUAGUAGUGAUAAACUCACUUAGUUCACGUUUGCGUAUUGUACAUGAUUGUCAUUUGGCUUGGUUUGUCCAAGAAACUAAAUGGGAUGUUUGAGGAAGAAAACGCUAUUUAGUGAUUGAAUGCCCUUUUUAAUGAUUUUAUUUAUUUAUUGAACAAGUACAACAUAUGAAGUUGAAUUAAUUUUAUAUAUACUGAUAAUAUAUAAACAUUAUUAUGAUUAGAUGUAUGAUACAUGAGUAAAAUUUAGAUUUUAAAUUUAAAUUUAAAUGAAAUGAUGAUAGUGUACAAAGGAUUGAUUUUAUAGAGUUAACUAAUUAAUCCACUAAUUAAAGUAAACCGAACAUUUGUACUAAUUAAAAGUUUGAGGCCAAAACUUUUUAAUUUUUGGAAAUUCGUCACUGUAUUUCGACUCCGGUCCCUCGUUGUUAAAAAAGAGGCGGGACAGACGACGGGCCAAUGGCAUCGUCACAAAGUGGAGAAAAUGGGGACCCACGAAUCUGAGGUUUUUCUUAAAUUUUUGACUGUUGGUUUGGUAAAUGGAGAGUGGAGUUGGGCUUUCGAUGUGGACGAGACAAUGCUCCUGUACGGUCCACGCUCACCAAAGAGUCCAUAGGCCUGCAGCAAUGAAACGCUGCCACGUAAAGAUAGUCCAUGUGGGGUAAGCCGGGUAAAUUUUGGGAGUUUAUUCUUUCUGGAGCUUGGACUGGGUCAUCUGGACCGGUCCGAAAGUAAAGUGGGUCAUUCCUUUUUUUGGCGGGUAGCCAUAUGAUUCACUGUAGCCGACAUCAGUGACAGGCUUGCACGUGAGGGGAAUUGCAUGGUUGGACUGACUCCAAAACGUGGGACCUCUUACAAGUCAAAUCGAAAGUCCCAUCUGAUUGACCAUAGAGAGUGCCAGAUUCUCGUACGACCUUGCCUUUUUCGACUUAAAUUACACCACUCCUUGCAUCGUAUACGUGCCUUCUGAGGUGUGACGGACACGCUCUUAUCGUUUUUUUUAUUUUUCCUUUUCUUUUUAAAAGAUUUUUUCCCCUUUAGUUAUGCAAUCCUUUUCUUUCUCUAUCUCUAUCUUUUUCCGGUACCAAAUGUUUGAUUUUUUUUUUUUUUUGGGGGACGAUUAGAUGGGGCUCUUUUACCUCCAACUUUUGCACCAAAAUAUCAAUAAAUAAAUCUUAUAUACACUGUACAGCUUAUUACCAUUGGAUCCAUAAUAUAUAUAUAAAUUAAAUUUUGUAUAAUUAUCAUUUAUCCAUAUAAGAAACAUGAAUCUAAUAACAAUUAUGUAUUUUAUAUACAUGUAAUUAAUAAGUAGUACAACUUUUCUUUCCAUUUUGUCACCGGUAUGACAAAUAAGACAGCUAUAAUUGAAGAUGAGAACUUUUACCUAACUGAGCUAACUCGGUUGGCCACCAGAGGAGGGAUUUAUUAGUCCCAACAGCUAUAUUUCAAGAUGAGAACCUUUACUCAAUUGAACUCUCUAAGCUGGCCACUACUCUAGAGGGGAGAUUAGUUUCUCCCUGGGCGCGCAAGUCAGGGGGUUGAACCCCUCCUGACCACAUUUUCUCUUCAGAAUUUUCUGAAGUAUAUAUAGCCGAAUGCAGCAUGGGAUCAAUAUUUGAUAAGUCCAUCCAUAUUCCUUCUCUUUUACCAAUAUAGAAUCAAUUGUAACAAUAUUUUACUCUAAAAAUAAUGAGAACCUUUUAUUCAUCAUGCUGCAUAAAACAAAAGGAUACGAUGAUGUGUGGUAUUAUAAUGUACUGCUAAUAUAUUAACAACGAUGAUAUUGAUUUGGAUACCCUAAAACUUUGAAGGGUUUGCGUCGGUCUGACGUGAUCUAAGAUGAACAAAUUGAAGAGUUGCUCCUCUUUUAAAUAUUUCCUUUAUUGGUUUUGAAGUCCCGAAGACCGGAAAAAGAAAAGAAAAGAAAAGAAAGAUGACCAUCCUUGCUUACUCAUCUCAAAAGUUGAAUGCAAAUUCACUUAAGCUACAACCAUCUGUACGUGUUACGUGUAUCAUAUGCCUGCAUUCAUUGUGGAGGUUUUAGUUUAUCUUCACGCAGACCGUUUGUCGGUACGGAUACCAUGUUUUACGGAUUUAAUCGCGAUUGGAGAUGCCAUCGACCCAAGAAACUGUUUUAUCUGAACUUCUGAUUAAAUGUCCCUCAAAAAAAAAAAAAUUCUGAUUAAAUGUUUUUUUUUUGGGGUGUUAUUCCCUUCGGAUAAUGCACGUUUUGCUUCCAUUUUACCCCUCUCUUCAACUCUCAGCGGAGACCAACCCCCCCAAAAAAAUAAGAGCUUUUCGUGAUGAAUGCUAGCAAGAAACAGAAGGCAGGAGCCCCAUUCACCUGCCAUAAUUUUGACUAAAAGCUCGAUCAGGUUUGAAAUGACAUUUUUCUGUUUUUUUCCAGCUUUCACGGCUGUUAUACAAACUUGAAAACGAGGAAACUUUGUUCGACCUUUUGUUGGCAACUUACCGCAUUCAGCAUUUUUCCUGCCAACAGCUCAUGAGGCGCAUUAAUCAAUCAUUUGCCAAAUGUUUUUCUACUAUUCCAAUCAUCAUGUAUGCAUCCGAGAGCAAAUUCCCUCCCCGGCCCCCUAUUUUUGAGUACGUUUAACAACUGAUUUGGAAAAAUACUAAAUGCAUAGCAGAGAUGACAUCAAUUGCUAUAUAUCGAGCGUAUAAUCGCCUAUCAUCAGUUGAGGUAGAUUGGUGGAAGUUAACAACUGGAAAAUAUUCCAAUGGGAGUAUACCUUUAUAUCAUACUUCAUUUGGCACACGCAAUCACGAGUGAAUUAGAAACUGAUCAUAUCAUCCGAGUUGCUCAUUUAAACUACGUACUUGAUUAAUCCAACUCUCAAAUUCUUCAUUUUCUCCUCCUCCUUUUAGGAUUUAGGGGCAUCAAUUCAUGCACCACUUUCGUUUUUGGGUUGAAUCCACACAAUACUUGGAUGUGUGAAUGUCAUAUGUUAAAACAGAUGCAGCGGAACGGAUGAACAAACAAGAACAAGCAAGAACAAAUUUGGGGGAAAUCAGAUUUUUAUUAGGGUUCGGAAUGUAUCAGAUAUAUUGUACAGAAUGGAUAUAAGGUAUAUAUAUACAACCAAAUAACCAAAGCGAGACCCCCGAACAACUCAGCGGAGGACGAAAAUCUGAUUCAAGGCAUUUCAACAUCAUAUGAUAAUAGUCUCUUUCUUUUUGUUUUUCCAUGUUUUUUCUUUUUUUCGUUCUGUAGAAUAUAGCUUAUCAAACAUUAACUCCCAGCUUCUCAAUAAUCUGAGAAUUAUAGCAUUAGCAAAUUGCCCUGCUUUUCCAAUUGAGGAAUCAAUCUGUUGAUGAUUUUUCCCUUGGAAUGGAAAGUGACCUUAUGAUGACAAUUGACAAUUUUGAGCAAGCCAUGACAGUGGCAACUGUCUUAUCAUCAACGAGUUCCGUGUUAAACAUCAAAUUUGUGCACUGAUCUUGACUUAUUAAUCCUAGUGUCGAUCUAAACGAUCGGCGCAAUUAUGCUCGUUUAACAUUAAUUUUUUCCAUCCACGCACUUCUCAUGCAAUCAUUUCAUUUUAAGACGGAAAACAUCAAGAUUAUCUCCUUAUAUAUAUAUAUAAUGCACCAUAAUAAUUUACAUGUAUAUACAUAGUAUUAUCACAUUGGAUCUUCUGUCUCAUACCCUGUCUCACAUCAUAUCCCACUCCUUCCAGUCCUACCAAGCGUCCCUUAGUAAACCAAACCCUGAAACAACCUAACUUAGACCACGUUAAGUUAAUUGAUUAACAAAAUCUGUAUAACCAAAAUCGAUUAAAAAAAAUUCUUCUCACAAAAUCAUGAUUUAUCAAAGGUAAAACAAAGCCUAAACCUUAACAAGCUUUGUCCUCUCGUCAUCAUCUCCACCUUCAUGUUUACUAAGGAUACUUGACAGGAUUAGAAAGAGUGAAAUAGGAUAUGAGACAGGGUGUGGCACGAUAGACAGAUCCGUUGCGUAGUAUUAUGUUCUCCGAUGAAUAAUAUGUAUGUAAUUCGGUUUUUACUGAAAUUCAAAGACACAAAUACCAUGACUAAUCUAAUGCAGUGGUCCAAUCCAAUCACGCGUGGUAGCUCUAUAACGUUGAAUCCAAACCUAACUCGGAAGACUUGUAGUCUUUCAGGUCAAAAUUCAUCUUCCCUAGCGAAGAGUUUUGAAAAAACGAUGUACUCUUGGCAUUUCUAUUUUGGAGCAGUUAAUUAGCGGGUGUAUUUGCGCCCUAAUAAGUUUGAGGUGGCCUAUGAUCAAAGACUACAUCUCAAAUAUUAGGGUGACUUUUCUUUAUUCGGGCAUCGGCCGACGGCCAGCCCGGCAUAGGUUACGGCCAACCAAGUCAUGCACCUUUCUCUUACACCAUGUUCAUUCCUUUUUUCCUAGGGCAAAAAAAGAAAAAGAAAAAGAAAACAGAAUUUGUUGAUUGAUGUUAUGCAGGAGAUAUGUACAUACUCACGCUGUAUAUAGAGCGUACUGUAAAUACGUGGAACGGCAUCAGAAUUUUGAUCACAUCUAAAUGUACGCAAUUGUGAGAACUAAGAAAGUUUAGCAAAUGUGUACGCGUAAAUCCGUGUGUAUUUGUACGUCUUUAUGUCAGUAAAAUCAGAAUUAGCGCAAAUGACAGAGCAGAGUGACGGGCCCAGCAUCAGAAACUGCAUGAAAUCAUAUAGUACGAGACAGCAUAUAUAUAUAUAUGGAAGCAUGAUUCUUGCAUCAGAUCGGAUCACGUCCAAAGAAGCCAAGCGAUAAGUAUGGAAAAAUUAACAUCCUAAGCAUUUAACAGAUCAUUGUUCAGGCGAAAGUGCUGCUAACUACAAGAACACGUAACGGAAGACUCGCAAACUCACACAGUUGUUGAGAAGUUCUACAUCAGGCAUCAGCUUCCGCUAAAUUGAACGAACCUGGCUUACUUUUACCAAUUUACCGCUUGCGUGUAACAGAAGAUACUGUUUGCACCAGCUUCCGUUCCGCAUGGUAACCAAGUAUGUAUAUGUAUAUAUUUGAGCUACUAUCAAAUACGGAGUACCAAUCACCAGAUAUAGGAUUAAAGCCAAACAGCUUUAGUACUUGCCCGCAUAUAUCGACGUAUCUACUACCCAAAACUAUGCUCAAUUGUGAAUUUGAUAUAGUGAUAUGCACAUAUCUAGGUGUAAUUCUGAACAGUGUGUGAGAGAGAUCAGCUUCCAGGAAUAUGGACCAAAGAUAUACUUGUAUAAUGGGGAAAACCAAAAUUGACUAUUUCCCGAAUGUCUCAAGUCAACCCCCCCCAAAAAAAAUUUUAACAUUAUUGAAAACUUAACCUAAAUCCAUUAAAUCCCAAAAUUCAGCCACUGUCAAGAAUAGGGUUGCGUCAAAUUUUCUUGGUGUGACAUUUUCUUGUAUGCUUCUUCUUGGGAUGCGCCACUGAUUGAUUGCAUAGGAUGCAUCUUUAACUAAAGUCAUCUUAAGGUGAAUCCGGAAUGAUUAGUGGUGCUAAUUAUAUAUCCCUCAUUGGUCAAGGUGUACAUGCGUUUCACACCCCACUAAUAUUAUAUAGCUUGAAAACAAGAUAUCCAAUGAGAAAUUUCAACGAGGAACAUGAACACAAUGAAUCAUGCAUCAUCUUUAUAGCUUUCAGCCAUGGAAUAGAAGGGUAAUUGUACUCCCUUUAGGCCACACGUACUGUGAAAAUACCCCAAGCGACGAACUAACGACACCUGAUCCUGUUCCAUCCUACAUGCUGUCGGGCAAAAGUUAAUGCUUAGUAAUAAUCAUGAAUCACUCCAACUGAAGGCGUUCAGAAACCUAUUUAUUUGCAUGAAGAAUGAUAAUCAGGCAAACACUAUUUGUUCAUCCAUACUUAAAGCCAUCGUUGGCUGCAGUAUAAACUUCGGUGAAGGCAAUGCUUUAUUUAGCCCGCAUAAAAUUGUGUAUAGUUUAGCAAAAGGGUGGAUGGAUCGUAUUCCACAUUUGCUCAACCAUUAUUAAUGUGCUUCUGAAAAAAACAAAUCCAUACCUUUCACCUCAGUUUGCGUUCAUGUAAGUUUAACUUAGUUCCGUUAAGUAAGCUCAAAAGAAAACUUCUGUUUAGUAAACGUUAAAUGUGUUGUGACCUUUUGGGAUUGAAGAAUGAUUUGGCAAAUGUUACUAUUUCCAACAUAAAGACCUGAACAUAAAAAAGAAGAAAGACGGCUAAUUUAUUUAUAACGUCAUCAGUAUUGAAAUCCAACUUGCAACUUGCAAGGGCAUAUGAAGACAUCUUGAAAUCACAUUUGUCUGCCAAUUUCAUCUAUUCUAGCAAUGAAAUGACAGCACUAUGAAUGAGCAAAUUAAUUAAUCAUAUUAAUCAGAAAGUCACAGGCGCGCGCUUAAGUAUUAGUUAGGGGAAUUCAUUAAUUUGCAUGAGCUCAAUGGACAUGGAAAAGAAGCCCAACAGUAGGAGGUAAAAGUUAUACUCGUAGAUCUAUUGUGUAAAAAUCAAUUCCUUUCAACAAGAGCAACAAUUAUCAGGAAGUAAAGCUGUAAAAGUAGGAGGACAGAAGAAAAAGGGAAAGUGAUCAGAUGGUGAGAUUUUACUUAGAAAUUUCUCAUACACAUCAGGGGCUAUCAUCUGGCCAACAAUCCCUAAGUUCACAAGACCACGCCAGCUUUAAUAGCAUCCAAAACUGAACCGUCAAUUGUCACAAAACCAACAGAAUUAGACACUGAAAUGAUGAUUAGAUGAAACAAACUUUUGGUUGGGAAACUACACGAUGGAAUGCAUCUAUAUAUGCUAGAGUUGCACAUGGAACAUGAGUCAUUACUGCAAGUAGUAGUACAUUAACUCCACCUUUUAGCAGUACGACUAUUACUAGGCUUAUACUAUAUAUAAUAGUGCUUCUAACGCUGCUACUGUUUGCAUCAAAAGCAGAAUAAAUAAAAGUUGCUCCCAGGUGGAAGCAAUAUAUUGCUCAUUCAUCUGGUCUGGUGCAUGCCCCCAGCUGAAUAAACAGUAGUAGUAGUCGGUAACAGUUUCGCAGUUGAUCGAAUCCCACUUUAGAAGAAGUAAAAUCUAACUAACCCUAGUGCAGUACUACUCGUAAAGCCACAACAUUCGACAAAAGAUCCACCAAAAAAUCAACCAAGAUUGGGAAGACCCAGCACGGCUCUAAGGCAUUAAUUAAUCUUCCAGAAAAACUUUAAGUAAAAACUUAGUUGAUAUGAAGUAGUUAAGCAUCAUGAUCACCUGAUGCUGCGGGUGCUGCUGAUCCUGCUCCCGCUCCUGCUGCUGCAGACAAGUGCUGUUGCGAGGGGCGCUUGCGCUUCUUCUUCUCAUAGCUUAUCCCUCUGGCUUUGGACUGCAGAUCACGAACUUCGCGCAAGUAGAGCCUCACAGCUCGAGCUCCGAAAGGGUUUGCUUCAGGCCUGCCUCCAUUUUCUUCGUAUGCAGCCCGGAGGCGGCCAAUGAGGGCAUCAAGGCUUCCCCAAGCUUGUCGAAGUGGGCAAGGGCAAGGCGCUGGAGGGUUGGGAUGCCCGUAGAAGGGACAGAUUGGGGUAUGGACUUUGGUUUUCCCAAACUGGUCCAGGUAGCGAAGGAAUUCAAGGACAUGAGCUCCGCUGCAGCGAGAAAGCGCGAGGGGAGGCCUGUGGUUUUUGAGAUAUUGCCCAAAAGUGUUCCAGUCCCUGCGCUUCUGAUUCUCGUAUCGGCUGGGAGUGGAAGCAGCAGAUGAGGAUGUUCCUGCAGAUGUGCUGUUGUUGCUGUUGCCCGUGGCGUUCUCAGACUGGGAUGUUUCUAUAUCUGCAAAUGGAUCCAUCAUCAUCAGAUAAAGAUUUACCACUACUGUUACUUAUUGGCUAGCUGCGGCUGGCUUCAAGAUGAAAAUCUGUGGCUUGUGACCGUUUUAUUCCACUUAUGUUUGUAUUUGACUGGAAUUAAACUAGGGUUUCAUUUGGUAGCUGCAGUGUAACAAAGUAGGAGAGAGGGUGGAGAAAACUCAUAUAUGGGCUGCAAAAUGCAAGAUUCAGGUGCGGGGAAGGAGAUGAUACAUGUUUUUUUAAUUAAAAUUUUCUAAAUGAUGAUAUAUAUAUAUAUAUAGAGCAGGCUGCUGCUGCAGCAGCAGUGGAUGAGUAUAUAAAAGGGAAUAUUAGUAAAUUGAAAGGAGAAAGGGAAAGCCAGAGAAAUAAAGAAAUCUUUCUUCUUUUUUUGGUGUGCUGUUUGGGGCCGGGGGGGUGGGUGUGGGGGGAGGGAGGGCCUUGUUUAGUGAAUGAUGUAUCAGAAGUUUUCCAUAUUUGUGUCUGAGGAUGGGGACUAAAGGGAGAGAGAAAAGAGGAGCAGCAAAAGUAGCAGAGUCUUGAAGCUGAGAUUAACGUAUGUCGCUGGCUUUUUCCUAUCACUGGAUCAUCUGUUGUUGUGUUGUAUUGUAUGAUGAUGAAUAGCAAUAAUAUUGAUGAGAUUGAUGGGAGAGGAGUCGGAUAUGGGUGAUGGGGAGGGGCUUUUUUUUGUGUGUUGGGAGGGGGGGGGGGCGAUUCGUAUGGAAUUGAGUGGAGAGUUUCUUUGUUUGAGCAGUACUAUAAAAUCUUGAAUGACUGUAAUGCUGUGGAUUUAGUAGCUUUCUUUUCUGAAAAUGUUAAGCCCGCAGAGCUUUUUCCCAAAAUGGGGGAAGCAACUGACGCUUCUACUAACUAUCUCCUAUUAAAUUGAAUAGUUGUGAUUGGCAGAGAGAGAGAGAGAGAAGGAGAUGAAAUUCUUGUGUCUUAGAUUAGGGCUCUUGUGGCAAUAUAAAGAGGUAGAGAGUAGAGACAGUGGGUUGAGAUGGAGACAGGAAAAAGUUUAAAGAAAGAACUGGGGGCAAUAGAGUAAAAAACCUUAGCACUCCCUAGAUAAGGGCCAGGGGUGCAACAUGACUUUGCCUCUUCAUCCACAGGGAAAGUGAGAAUUGAAUGUCAGUUCCAUGUGAAAUGUUGAAAAUGCCCUUUUGCCAUCUUCAUUUCUCUUCUAGUUAAAGUGUGUGAAUUUCGUCAUUAAAGAGGCUGGCUGUGGCUCAUUGGCUUCCCCUUUGUCGCAAUAGUACCAAGUGAAGCAAACUAACCAGUGUACACUUUUCUCCCUUUGCUCCUCUAUAAGAAAUGCACUCUGUAGCCCGGUAGACCAGAGAAUGCAGAAACAGCCAGCAUUUAGCUGCUAGCAUGAUCAGUCGUAUGCCAGAUUUCUGAACGGUGGUUAAUUCUAAAUUUGGUGGUACUUAGUUUCAACUCGAUUUUUGUUCCUGAAUCUUCAUCCCUUCUUAAGAGAACCCAAAAAUUCAUAAUUGAGCAACGAAUGCAACCCCCCCUAACCAGACCAAAUCAGCUGGUAAAACGCGAAAAGAAGAUGUUUGACUUUCAUUUCUGCCAAGUUUUCGACUCUUUGUAUGAAUAAAUGCUCAAUUUAACUGGUAUUUACCUGCCAAAAAAAUCUACUAGCAUUUAUCUUCUUUCUUUUUUUUUUGUGGUGUGUAUGGGGGGGGGGGGGGUUUUUUUUUUUUUUUUUUUUUUUGGGGGGGGUGUGGGGGGAGGGAGGGCCUUGUUUAGUGAAUGAUGUAUCAGAAGUUUUCCAUAUUUGUGUCUGAGGAUGGGGACUAAAGGGAGAGAGAAAAGAGGAGCAGCAAAAGAAGCAGAGUCUUGAAGCUGAGAUUAACGUAUGUCGCUGGCUUUUUCCUAUCACUGGAUCAUCUGUUGUUGUGUUGUAUUGUAUGAUGAUGAAUAGCAAUAAUAUUGAUGAGAUUGAUGGGAGAGGAGUCGGAUAUGGGUGCUGGGGAGGGGCUUUUUUUUGUGUGUUGGGGGGGGGGGGGGGGAGUGAUUCGUAUGGAAUUGAGUGGAGAGUUUCUUUGUUUGAGCAGUACUAUAAAAUCUUGGAUGACUGUAAUGCUGUGGAUUUAGUAGCUUUCUUUUCUGAAAAUGUUAAGCCCGCAGAGCUUUUUCCCAAAAUGGGGGAAGCAACUGACGCUUCUACUAACUAUCUCCUAUUAAAUUGAAUAGUUGUGAUUGGCAGAGAGAGAGAGAAGGAGAUGAAAUUCUUGUGUCUUAGAUUAGGGCUCUUGUGGCAAUAUAAAGAGGUAGAGAGUAGAGACAGUGGGUUGAGAUGGAGACAGGAAAAAGUUUAAAGAAAGAACUGGGGGCAAUAGAGUAAAAAACCUUAGCACUCUCCAGAUAAGGGCCAGGGGUGCAGCAUGACUUUCCCUCUUCAUCCACAGGGAAAGUGAGAAUUGAAUGUCAGUUCCAUGUGAAAUGUUGAAAAUGCCCUUUUGCCAUCUUCAUUUCUCUUCUAGUUAAAGUGUGUGAAUUUCGUCAUUAAAGAGGCUGGCUGAGGCUGCAAUAGUACCAAGUGAAGCAAACUAACCAGUGUACACUUUUCUCCCUUUGCUCCUCUAUAAGAAAUGCACUCUGUAGCCCGGUAGACCAGAGAAUGCAGAAACUGCCAGCAUUUAGCUGCUAGCAUGAUCAGUCGUAUGCCAGAUUUCUGAACGGUGGUUAAUUCUAAAUUUGGUGGUACUUACUUGAAAGGAGAAAGGGAAAGCCAAAGAAAUAAAGAAAUCUUUCUUCUUUUUUUGGUGUGCUGUUUGGGGCAGGGGGGGGUGUGGGGGGAGGGAGGGCCUUGUUUAGUGAAUGAUGUAUCAGAAGUUUUCCAUAUUUGUGUCUGAGGAUGGGGACUAAAGGGAGAGAGAAAAGAGGAGCAGCAAAAGAAGCAGAGUCUUGAAGCUGAGAUUAACGUAUGUCGCUGGCUUUUUCCUAUCACUGGAUCAUCUGUUGUUGUGUUGUAUUGUAUGAUGAUGAAUAGCAAUAAUAUUGAUGAGAUUGAUGGGAGAGGAGUCGGAUAUGGGUGCUGGGGAGGGGCUUUUUUUUGUGUGUUGGGGGGGGGGGGGGGGAGUGAUUCGUAUGGAAUUGAGUGGAGAGUUUCUUUGUUUGAGCAGUACUAUAAAAUCUUGGAUGACUGUAAUGCUGUGGAUUUAGUAGCUUUCUUUUCUGAAAAUGUUAAGCCCGCAGAGCUUUUUCCCAAAAUGGGGGAAGCAACUGACGCUUCUACUAACUAUCUCCUAUUAAAUUGAAUAGUUGUGAUUGGCAGAGAGAGAGAGAAGGAGAUGAAAUUCUUGUGUCUUAGAUUAGGGCUCUUGUGGCAAUAUAAAGAGGUAGAGAGUAGAGACAGUGGGUUGAGAUGGAGACAGGAAAAAGUUUAAAGAAAGAACUGGGGGCAAUAGAGUAAAAAACCUUAGCACUCUCCAGAUAAGGGCCAGGGGUGCAGCAUGACUUUCCCUCUUCAUCCACAGGGAAAGUGAGAAUUGAAUGUCAGUUCCAUGUGAAAUGUUGAAAAUGCCCUUUUGCCAUCUUCAUUUCUCUUCUAGUUAAAGUGUGUGAAUUUCGUCAUUAAAGAGGCUGGCUGAGGCUGCAAUAGUACCAAGUGAAGCAAACUAACCAGUGUACACUUUUCUCCCUUUGCUCCUCUAUAAGAAAUGCACUCUGUAGCCCGGUAGACCAGAGAAUGCAGAAACUGCCAGCAUUUAGCUGCUAGCAUGAUCAGUCGUAUGCCAGAUUUCUGAACGGUGGUUAAUUCUAAAUUUGGUGGUACUUACUUUCAACUCGAUUUUUGUUCCUGAAUCGAUCUUCAUCCCUUCUUAAGAGAACCCAAAAAUUCAUAAUUGAGCAACGAAUGCAACCCCCACUAACCAGACCAAAUCAGCUGGUAAAACGCGAAAAGAAGAUGUUUGACUCUCAUUUCUGCCAAGUUUUCGACUUUUUUGUAUGAAUAAAUGCUCAAUUUAACUGGUAUUUACCUGCCAAAAAAAUCUACUAGCAUUUAUCUUCUUUCUUUUUUUUUUUUUUUGUGUUAUUACUUGGAGGAUAUACAUUGUAAAUAAGAUUCAAAACUCUUGACGUCCAACAUUUCAGAGCAAGAAUCUCUUUUGCGUGCGUACGGCUAGUGGUGACUUCAUUUGAGAGCACUUACAGGUUAAACAUAGAGGCACAAGAUUUUAAGAGCAUUAAUACCAAAAGAAUUAGCAUAUGUUUUUUGACAAGGAGGUUGGGAUCUUUUUCUUUUAAAUGUUACAUAUUUCUUGAAAAAGCUAUCUAUAAACAAUUUUGGCUAUCUGUUCGGAGGGAGGAGAAAUACACAGAUUUAGAAAAGUUGAUUUUUUUUUUUUCUAGAACAUAAUUUGUUGGCGUAUUAAUUAGUUCAUUAGGGUUGAAUAAUUGAUGCACUGCAUUGAGAUACUGUGAAAUUUAGGGUCCCAAAUAAAGUGGAAUCCUGCUGCAACAUUAGUGACAUGUUCUGCUGUUGGUUUGUGCAACAAGAAAUUUCUCAAACUUUUCACCCAUUUAAACCCAAGGCAGAUUAGUGACAUGAGAAUCAGGAUACUGCCUAUACUAGAAGACUUGAGUUAAACAUGUUUGACCAAAAGCAUAUACUGAAAACAAAUCCAACCCAUCAAAGAUGAGCGUUACUUUAAUUUGGCUUCCAAUAGAUCUGUUCUGAGUAAACUGCUUAUUAUUCUGAGGAAAAAUAAAUAAAUGCACAUAGUUACAGAGACUGUGAGUAAAAAAGAGAGCUGACGGAAAUUUUUUUUUUUUUUGGGUAAGUAGCAAUAAGUAUUUAAUUGAAGUGAAACCUAUUUUUUGGAACGAUAUCUCAAUAUUCGGACUCUCAUCACUUACAAUGCAAGAGUGCUUUUCCCCCUUUCCCUUGUAGAGAUUGUUGUGAUAGCUAGUAAGAUGAUCGAAGUGAGAAAAUUAUAUACAUGUGUUGCAUAUAUACUUUACCUUAUUAGAACUAUUACAUAUGUACUUUACCUUAUCAGAAGUAUGGCUCCCCUAUGAGAUUGGAAGAGAAAAUAUAGAAUAAGGAGUAUAUGAAUUCUUUUCCAUGUUGUUUGGAGUUCUGGAAAUAAAUACAACAAUUUUAUGCUUACUAACAAAUGAACUAUACAAGCAUUUAGGUUCGUUUUGUCUGCAUUUCUCUCCACGUCUUUGCUAUGUUUCUUUUUCCCUUUCUCUCUUUUUCUUUUUCAUUUUUCCCGACGAAACUUUCCGUUGGGACCAAAAACUUCAAGUUUUCUUUAUGUUUUUUUAAAGUCCUCCCACUUCUUCUCACGGCCUUCCCCUCCUCAACUCGUAGACACAGAAUUCGAAUUCUGAAUCUGAUAGUGAAGAAGAUUCUAAAAAUCCUUCUCUAAUUAUUAGCCCGACACUAAUGAUUUCAUACUCUGCCCGCGCUUAUUCUCUUCUUAAGCACAUGUUACAGAGAUUUCAGAACCCAAAACACAACAAAAGAAAAAGGAAAAAACUGCAUCUAGAAUGUAAUUUCACAAUUAACAAGCUUCAAAAAAGAAUGAUCCUAGUAAUUGUCAAGUACUUUCAACUAAUUGAUUGGGAAGUUUCCGAAGUGGUUUCUACAUACCAAUGAUGCAGGCAGGAAAAGUAAGGUAUACAAUCGUUGAGUACAACUUGAAUCCUAACUUCCCAUUCAAGGAUCCAUUUUUGUUUGCAGAACACACCUUACAUUGAGGCAAAACCAUGAUAUAAUGAAUUUUAGGGAAUAUGAAGCUCCGAAUAGUAACAAAUACUGGGAUCAAGCACAUGGAUGUCAAACAGCAAGACGAAAGUGUACUUAAUUACUAUACCUUGGUAUAUGAACACGGCCUUUGAUUGAUGGCUUCUCGAGCAAAGAAAUUAUCUGGUUUUCGUAGCCUGAGGGACAGAGUCACGGAGAUAUAGUUCAUCUCCACACUAAUAACGUACAAGUUCCGAGUAUUAAAAAUAACCUAAAUGGUUGGGUUUACUGCACCUUUUGGUCGGUAAUAAACCAAAGUUUCCGAAAGUAGGUACUUUUCAGAAAUCAUGUGUGUAGCUAUUCCUGGAAAAACCCCAGUGGAAGACAGAAGUUCCAGGAAGCAAAUAUGGCUAAACACCUCAUGAUUAUUAUUAGUAUUUCUUUUUGGGUUACGAAAGACCUAAUGAUCGAUGCUCCAGCAAUUAGUGUCCUUCUCACUUGGUGUUUUCCAAGCUUAGAAUUGUUAAUCAUUGUUUAUGGUAUAGAAAGGGUUAAUUGUACUUUAACACCCUUAAACUAACAUCCUUGUUGCUGUUCACCCCUCUGAAGCGAAUGAAUAGACGUUCUGCCCUAUUGAAAGCUUCCACGGGAUAAAUAAAUACCAAAAAAAAAAAAAAAAGUUAUGCAAGUUCUUUUUGGACAACAUGCCUUAAAAAGAGGAUUUCCAGACAAAUAUCAUGCUAAGUACCAAACUGAUUUCAUUUAUAAUGACUUCACACAAUCUUAGACUUUCUUUUAAGAGAACAGCGAAGGGCUUUUGAUACUUGCGAGAGUGGAAGCCAAAUGGAUUUGGAAAUGAUGACUAGUAGCUUGGAUAGACAGCUUGCCCUUGCGAAGUUGGUUUAUCUAAGCACAGAAGUAGGUAGUACUAUAACACGAUUCAUUUAGGGAUGUCAGCUUAGGUGGUAUAACGAAAUUCUCUUGAGCAUGUUGUCGACCCAUUCUGAUUUCUAUAAGAGCCUAAUCUUUUGAAAAGCUAAAAUCAAAAUCAAAAGGCAGGUAUCUUGUAAAUUUUGAUUUUUUUUUUUUAGUAUUAAAGAAAAACAAAAGUUGAAAGAAAAACCAGCUAAGAAUAUAUAUAUAUAUAUAUAUAUCCAAUAAGAAAUUUUACAGGGUCAGAAACUAAGAACAAAUGCAAAAGAUCAGCUAAGAACAUGCCUUGUAUCCAUAACAAUCAAAAUCCCCUUCAACCGAGAAAUUAGGGAAAGCAUGAAAUAAAAGUGUGUAUUUUGGCCAUGUUCCAUUUUUUUUUUUUUUCUUCUUCUUCUCUAGGUCGACUACUACUUACAUUAUAUUGCGAUGAUAGCUUUUACGUUAGUUCUUUUGCUUGUGUAAUUGAUUACCAGUAUUUACAACCUAGACCUAGAGGGAUCCUCAAGUCGACUACUAGUUUUUAUGGAUCUUGCCCUUUUUCCUUGGUCUAAAACAAUGCAUAUUAAUAGCAGGCAAAGAACACUGCUUUUUGGGGCAGCUUGAGAAUCUGUUUAAAAAACGAAAUUUGGUCGGCUUUCUUUCUGUAUAUACAACAACAACAAAAAAAAAAAAAAAAAAGAAGAAGAAAUCAUAAGCCUUAACAACCCAAAAUUUGGUCUCCAAAAUUCAACAAAGUCUCUCGACUUCAUUGUAUUUCCGAUAAAAGUAUUCAAUCUCCUAUUGAGAGAUGUCUUUAAACAAAAAUAAAAAAAAAAAUGUAAUUGCCUAGCUAGCACAGACAAUAAAAAGACCUUCUAUGAAACACCCCAUGUGUAAUUUACGAGGCAUGUCAAGACCAAGACAUCCGAAUUUGACUGAUCAAAGAAAAGAAUGGUGGCAAACAUUCAUUUCUGAUCUCUUUUGCCGGCCGGUGUCAUGAACUGGAUGGAUAGUCUGGAUGGACCUGCUCAAAUGGUUUGGAGUUCCAAACACACUGUUAGUAUUUCAACGUGGAGUUGUGGGAGAGUUCAAGGUAACAUUGAUGUUCCGUGUCUCGUGUCGAUGCCUCGGUUUCAAGUUCAACAUAGUACAGUGGAAAAUCAAGAAAAACACAAGAAAGAAAGAAUAAUGUGUCUUCCCAUUCCUAUCCUUUCCCUUGUGGAACGUACCACGGGAUAUAUAUUUCCACUCACUCAGUGUUAAUGAAAUGGGACAGUACUGCCCCCAUUAUGACCUUCCAACACUUGCACCGACUUCUCCAAAUCAGUGUCCGGGCAAACUACCCCAACUUUCUUGUGUUCUUUGUUCGAAUCUGAAUGAAGUGAAGCUCUUCAAAUGUGCUGUGACGAGGUUGAUCUGUCCCAGCACAAAUAUCCUAGCUGAUUUUUUGCUCACGCAGCGGAUGUGCAUCUUGUCUGAGUGGCAAGUAUUUGAUCUUCUUGAUUUGCAGUGACAGUUCUACAUUAUGAGGGGAAAAAAUAAUCUCUUUAUUGCUUCAUAAAUAUGUUUUGUUUUUCAAUCAACUUUUUACUUUUAAUCACUUCUUUAUAUACAUGCAGCAUAUCACGAAAGAAAGCUUUAGCAUGACUCUAAAAAAAAAAAGAUCCAGAUGACCUUUGAUCCAAUGGAUUUUUUUUUGUUUAUUGGUUUGCUUGUGACCUGUGUUUCCCGAGACUCAGUUAAACCUGAUUAGCUGGCAAAGCUCUUUAGCAAAGCAAUGGUUGAUGCGCCACAAAGCAAUAAUCAGUUUCGUAAUGUCGAGAAUAAUUAAAAAAUUAACCUACUUUGUUGUGCUGCUGGGCUUGUGCAUGCAUGGGUUGGCAUCCAUGAUUUGAUUUCAUCCGUAUUCGCAUUCCCCGCAAAGGUUUUCUUCCAAACAAAACAUUCCCGAAAGAGCCUGCAAAUGAAAGCCCCUCCUCAAUCUUUCAUACCAAAGAUAAACAAGGGACCACCCACAUUUCCAAAACAAGUAGAUUGACCAAUGUGGAGUUCCCUUAGAACGAAGAGAUAAUUCCCUCCCCAUCAGAGAUUGAUGGAUCUCUUAUUGCUGCUGCCUCCAACCACACCUGACACCCAAAUUUUCUGGAAACGCCUUUUCUCAUCAGUAUUGAUUGAGCACUUUUUUUUUUUUUUUUUUUAAAAAAAAAAAAUAUCAUGGUCAGCGAUUCCCUGAAAUUGGCCUAGCAAUCCAACCGCGCAACUUUUUAAUUUGAAGUUGGAUAUAUGAGCUAAACUGUGAAAUGCAAGUUUCAAUCAUCAGUGAUAAUGGCGUUUGUUGUUUUUACUCUUUCUUUAAUUCCUGUCUUCAACAAGUGCCCGCCGCUUCCUUUGCUCAGGGAGGAAGAGGGCAAAAAAGAAGAAAAGAAGGGAAUAUAAAUAUAUAGAGCACCUACAAACUAGUAUCCAAUUAAUUAAUGUAUUUAAUAAGUCUUGCAUGGCAUGGCAGACAGGGCGCUAAAUGGUGGAUGGGCGGAAGCACUCCAGCGAAGACCCUGCAGUUAUGAGUCCGUAUCCGUACGAUUUAGGUUCCCUGCUUCCUAGGAAAUAGAUAGGAUUUUGAUGCAAGUGUCAAUAAUCUCCAAACUACAACGUAACCAAAACACACCUCUUAUGUCUUACUUUUUAUUAACACAAAUGCACUACUUUUUCUAAUUCUAAGCCGCUUUUGUUGAACAAAGGUGCACAUUGCUGCCAAUCUGAGACAUCUAUUUUUGAACUUCGCUCCCUACUCUUGGAUGCUUCAAAGUAGUAUCAUGUUUGAAAGAGCACUAAAGUUGAUGCCUUUUACAUUUAUUCUGCGGACCAAACAAACAAAAAAAAGCUUUUUUUUUUUGGUGUGGGGGGGGGGGGGGGGGUUGGGGUUGUGCCCUCACUCUUUAGCCUCCUCCACAGCCAAAAAAAAAUCAAUGAUACACUACGAAAUCCAGUUGUAAGCAAUCAAAGAAACGAAAAGGAUUUUAGCCGCUAAGAAGCGGUGCCGCCCUGAUCAGACACCCCAUCUACACCAAGAGCAGAGAACCUCAAAUUCAUUUUGCAUCAUGGAAGAUGAUAUUAACAGGAGUUGAAGAAUAUAUACACAUAUACAUGCAAUACUCCGAUAGAGUCCGAAGUAACUACCACAAGAGAAAGCAAUAGCGGGAACUGCCAGUAUUAAAAGCUACAAAACGGAUGAUCUACUCUCAUUUGCAGGCCAAGUGAACAUGACUACCUCACAAAUUGCACUAAGUAAACAGCUAAAAGAACUUCUAGAUA
This 19470-nucleotide long non-coding RNA is filed under the name Coffea arabica (coffee). Its description in RNAcentral is "long non-coding RNA (CARA_LNC000811)". Lineage: Eukaryota; Viridiplantae; Streptophyta; Magnoliopsida; Gentianales; Rubiaceae. The record is from RNAcentral.